AGCUUGUCUUCCAACCUGCAGAAGAAGGAUAUGCUGGUGCCUCCUAUAUGUUAGAAGAAGGUGCAUUAGAUGGGUUUAAAGCAAUAUUUGGCUUGCAUGUCUGGCCAUUUAUGCCCGUAGGCACUAUUGGUUCAAAACCUGGUCCUAUUAUGGCUGGAUCAAGCAGGUUUACUGCAGUAGUGCAAGGGAAAGGCGCACUAUUGGUUCGAAACCUGGUCCUAUUAUGGCUGGAUCAAGCAGGUUUACUGCAGUAGUGCAAGGGAAAGGCGGCCAUGCAGCAACACCACAUAAAACUAGGGAUCCAAUGUUGGCUGCUUCUAUGGCAGUUCUUGCCCUCCAACAACUUAUUUCU
RNAcentral lists this long non-coding RNA (352 nucleotides) under Nicotiana benthamiana. RNAcentral describes it as "long non-coding RNA (NBEN_LNC021042)". The record is from RNAcentral. Lineage: Eukaryota; Viridiplantae; Streptophyta; Magnoliopsida; Solanales; Solanaceae.